GAGAAAGCAGGCUCUCUUUCCAAAGAAGUGACAACUCUCCAGAAGAUUCUACCUAGACCCAGGUUCUGGAAUAGGAGCUUCAGCCUGUUGUCUGGAUGUGCCCAGGGGUGUACCCUGGCCUUUUUCUUGCCCAGAGCUCAACAGCUAUGCCCCUGGAGUUUUGGUCAGUGGGCCUGGUGGUCCUGCUGCUCAUGCUCGGGAGAGCCCAUGGAGAUUCGGUGACCCAGACAGAAGGUCUUGUUAUCCUCUCCGAGGGGGCACGUCUGAUCCUGAACUGCACCUACCAAACCAGCUACUCAGAAUUCCUUUAUUGGUACAUCCAGGAUUUCAAUCAAGCUCCCCAGUUGCUCCUGAAAAGCGCCACAGACAACCACCAAGUGGAGCAUGAUGGUUUCCAGGCCACUCUGGUUAAGAAGAACAGCUCCUUUCACCUGCACAAGUCCUCAGUGCGGGUAUCAGACUCAGCUGUGUACUACUGUGCCGUGAGAGACACUGUGAGAGAAAGCACCGGGGAGCCAGAGCACAAACCUGGGGCCAGCAGGUGGCACCUGCGUAUGGCAGCCCUGCGUGGGGAGAGUUAUAGCUUCUCUCCAGAGUCACGAUCUAAACUGGGGACAACUGGAGGAGAAGGGACAAAUUCCAGCUUUGGUGCCUCACAACCCGCGUCCCUGGAGUAACUUAAAGCAGGCACGGGGCUAGGGACUCCAAGGAAACACCUGAGUUCCAGUUUGCAGCUGUUACUUUCAGUAACUGUGCCUUGAGUAUUCCACCAGGUUGA
Ochotona curzoniae (black-lipped pika) is the source of this 778-nucleotide non-coding RNA. The record is from the annotation of a RefSeq genome assembly. Lineage: Eukaryota; Metazoa; Chordata; Mammalia; Lagomorpha; Ochotonidae.